GGGUUAUGUGUCUGUGAGGCCCCCAGUCCUCUGGAGGGUUAUGUGUCUGUUAUGAGGCUCGUCCCCCAGUCCUCUGGUGGGUUAUGUGUCUGUUAUGAGGCUCAUCCCCCAGUCCUCUGGUGGGUUAUGUGUCUGUUAUGAGGCUCGUCCCCCAGUCCUCUGGAGGGUUAUGUGUCUGUUAUGAGGCUCGUCCCCCAGUCCUCUGGAGGGUUAUGUGUCUGUUAUGAAGCUCAUCCCCCAGUCCUCUGGUGGGUUAUGUGUCUGUUAUGAGGCUCGUCCCCCAGUCCUCUGGAGGGUUAUGUGUCUGUUAUGAGGCUCGUCCCCCAGUCCUCUGGUGGGUUAUGUGUCUG
Molecule: long non-coding RNA, 350 nt
Organism: Oncorhynchus tshawytscha (Chinook salmon)
Lineage: Eukaryota; Metazoa; Chordata; Actinopteri; Salmoniformes; Salmonidae
Source: Ensembl